GUAGGGCAAUCUGUCUUUAGGAAGGGAUAGAUUACUCUAAAAGAAAUGAAUCCGAGAUAGUUUUCCCUUCAAUUCAGGCAUGUUGU
MicroRNA precursor from Equus asinus (donkey), 86 nucleotides. NCBI's taxonomy places the organism in Eukaryota, Metazoa, Chordata, Mammalia, Perissodactyla, Equidae. The record is from Ensembl.